RNA transcript from Papaver somniferum (opium poppy), 3345 nucleotides. It is a transcript of the gene named RNA-binding KH domain-containing protein RCF3-like, with no coding region annotated. Lineage: Eukaryota; Viridiplantae; Streptophyta; Magnoliopsida; Ranunculales; Papaveraceae. The transcript is spliced from 12 exons. The record is from RefSeq and is a predicted model, not a curated record.
ACUCCUUCAAAUUUUUCCUUGUUUAUGUUUCUACGCUUUCCCUAAAAACCCUAAUCCUCUCUCUGUCUGAUUUCCCCAAAAAGAAGAGCACAAAUUCUCUGUUUCUGCAAAGGACUUGGUACAUUAAUUCUUAGUUACUAUGUCAUUCUCCGUGACGCCGUCGAAGAGACCGCAUGAUCGGAACGAUCAAAAUGGAAAAGGGAAGUGGCAAAAGACACAAGGAUAUUAUCCACCAUUACAACCAUUGAAAAUCGCACCUGGUAGUAUUGUUUUCCGUGUGUUAUGUCCUGUUUCGAAAUCGGGUAGUGUAAUUGGGAAAGGCGGUACCAUUGUGUCACAAAUUCGACAAGUUACUGGUGCUAAAGUUAGAGUUGAAGAGCCUGUUCCUGGUGAUGAUGAGAGAGUUAUUGUUAUAGUAGGUCCUGAGAAAGAAGUAGUAGAAGUGAAUGGAGAACAAAUUAAAGAGGAUGGGGAGAAUAAUAAUAAUGGGGUUAAUGAGGGUGGUGAUGUGAAAGAGAACGAUAAGAUAGAGACUGAGAGUAACAAGGAUACGGUUCAUAUGGAAAUUAAGGAGGAAAAGGGAGUGGAGGAUGAUGUGGAAGUGAAGGAGGAGUCCAAGGAAGUUAAGGUGGAAAUGGGAGUCGUGGAUGAUAUGGAAGUGAAGAAAGAAUCCAAGGAAGGUUUGCAGUCAAUGGAAGUUACGGAGGAAAAGGGAGUCGAGGAUGAUUUUAAAUCAAAGGAAGUUAAGGAGGAGAUGGGAGUUGAGGAUGAUAAGGAAGCUUCGAAAUCCGAGGAACCUAAGGAGGAGGAGAAGGUAGUUGAGGAUGUUAAGGAAGAUUCAGAAUCCAAUGAAGUUAAGGAGAAGGGAGUUGAGGAUGUUAAGGAACAUUCGGAACUCAAUGAAGUUAAGGAGGAUAAGGAAGCUAAGGGCACUGCUUCUGCUGAAGAUUCACAAGCCGAAAAAGGAAAUUCUGCUGUUCAGAGGGCUCUUUUCCUUGUUUUUGAAAGGAUGGUUGAAGGAGAGCUCGAAGGAGAUGAAGGAGAGAAAGCUUCAACCGUUGUUAGAUUACUUGUGCUGUCCACCCAAGUUGGUUGCCUCCUAGGAAAAGGGGGGAGCGUAAUCAAGCAAAUGGCCUCUGAUAGUGGGGCACAGAUCAGGAUUCUUCCAAGAGACAAACUUCCUCUUUGUGCUUCACAAACUGAUGAACUGGUUCAGCUCACGGGGGGAUUAGAUGCAGUUAGGAAGGCUCUUCAAUCUGUAUCUCAACAACUUCUGGAUAAUCCACCUCGUGAUCGUGACACGUUUCCUGCAAGCAAACAUACUGGAUCAUCAAAUAAUUCUUUUGGUCCUCCUGUUCCUAAGCCUGACGUUCGUGCACCCCCAAAUCAUCAUUUUUCUGGCCAAGGAGCAACUUAUGCUGCUGGACCUCAUGAACGAACUGAUUUUGAGCAUCCACCACAAAAGUAUCAUGAACAUGUCAUACCAAACAGAAUGGAAACUGUGCAGCCAAUCACCUUCCGUCUAUUGUGCUUCAACGAGAAUGUUGGAGGUGUAAUAGGGAAGGGCGGAACCAUAGUCAAGGCACUUCAGCAUGAAUCCGGCUGUGACAUCAAAGUCUUGGAUAGUAUUCCAGAUUCAGAGGAUCGUAUUAUUCUCAUUACUGGCCCAGUGCAUCCAGAUGAUAGGUUUUCUGCUGCACAAGAUGGAGUUCUCCGUGUGCAGAAUAGGAUAGCAAGGGCGGUAUCUGAUAACGGUGAAAAAGUAUUAGCUAGGAUACUUGUGUCGUCCAAUCAGAUUGGUUGCAUUCUUGGGAAGGGUGGUUCAAUAAUCACUGAAAUAAGGAAAUUUACUGGGGCUUACAUUCGUAUAGUAGCAAGAGACCAGAUGCCAAAAUGGACCUCUGAUAUUGAUGAAAUUGUGCAGAUGUCUGGGGAAUUUGAGGCAGUGCAAGAAGCUCUAGUGCAGAUAACUGGCAGGCUGCAACAUCAUUUCUAUCGUGACAUGUAUCCCACUGUUAACCAUCCACCGCAUCCUCCUUUUGCUGAUCAAGUAGCACCAUAUCCUCCAUUUGGGGGGAGGAGGGACCGUUCACCUCCUGGAAUGUAUUCCAAUUUAGGGCCACCAUUUCAUAAUUUUGAUGGUAUCGGUGGUUUUCCUCCUCAUGGGCAUGUUCAUCCCAGCGAUGAGCGAUUUGUACACAACAGUCACAUACAGGGUAACCCCCAUCUUGGUUCUGGAAGACUGCCACCUCCAGCACCAUGGGAAUAUCAGGGAAGAAUGCGUGACGGUGUUGGUCCCUUGGGGAUCCCAGAUUACGCAGGAGUUCCUCCCCAUAGAAGAAAUGCAGGGUUUGGCGGUGGGAAUCAGCCUGCUUUUAUCACAAGCACAACUGUAGAAGUUUCUGUCCCCCGAGCGGUUGUUCCAUCUAUAUAUGGAGAAAAUGGAAAUUCUUUGAAACAGAUUCGCCAGAUUUCUGGUGCAAAAAUUACCAUUACUGAUUCCCGACCUGGAGCCACCGACACCGCAAUUAUCUUAUCUGGAACACCUGAACAAACACAUGCUGCACAAAGCCUUCUUCAGGCAUUUGUAAUGGCCGGGUCUGGUUCACCUUGAUCGUACAUGGCAGAAAGAAACUGGAAACGUCUGCUGGAGAUCAAGUGGCCUGGAAUGAGAGAAUUUUGAAGUUGUAGUUUUGGGAUCAUCCUCAAACUCAGGUGAAGCUUUCAAGGGGGAGAUAUCAUUCUUCUGCAGAUAGUAUCACUCUCCAUGACGAUGUUUGAUGGCUUCAAAGAUGUACAUAUCCAGUCGUUUAUUUCGAGCGGUCUCUACUCUCUACCCAAGCAUGCUUCAUCAAUUGUUAAAGAAAUAGUAGGUGGAGGUUGAUCGCUGUAGUGAGAUUACAUGGGGAGAUAUAUAGGUGGGGCAGCAGGAAAUCACAAGGACUGACAAGUAUCAAGUACUCGAGAAGAAAGAAACAAACUCAUUUAGCAAGUCGUCAGGCCUUGAAAAAAUUUGUCGAAGCCAGAAUGAGUUUUUGAGAGUUUUUUUUUCUGACAAAAGUUAGCUCAAGAUAUUAACCGGUUGUAUUGCCGGUUGCAUCACUUAUUCCCGUGGUGGUGAGUUCAGAGCGUCUUAUGGACUAGGCCAGCUAGGUUGUUGCCUCCUAUAAUUUAAAAGUUUAGUUAUUUUUAAAGCUUGUUGCUCUUACGUAGUGGUCUACCUUUGUUCUUGUUGACAGUCAUAUCUUUUAGUUAUUAUCGAAAUCAGUUCGGUUUGUAAUCACUGGUACUAUUUUCCAAUUCUAGCCAUUACUCACUUUUACGUAAGAACAUUAGCAUUCACUA